RNAcentral lists this ribosomal RNA (429 nucleotides) under Chloroflexota bacterium. Its description in RNAcentral is "Chloroflexi bacterium partial 16S ribosomal RNA". It matches the Rfam family "Bacterial small subunit ribosomal RNA", at positions 355 to 776 of the family's 1533-position model. Lineage: Bacteria; Bacillati; Chloroflexota. The record is from RNAcentral.
UGGGGAAUAUUGCACAAUGGGCGCAAGCCUGAUGCAGCCAUGCCGCGUGUGUGAAGAAGGCCUUCGGGUUGUAAAGCACUUUCAGCGGGGAGGAAGGCGAUAAGGUUAAUAACCUUGUCGAUUGACGUUACCCGCAGAAGAAGCACCGGCUAACUCCGUGCCAGCAGCCGCGGUAAUACGGAGGGUGCAAGCGUUAAUCGGAAUUACUGGGCGUAAAGCGCACGCAGGCGGUCUGUCAAGUCGGAUGUGAAAUCCCCGGGCUCAACCUGGGAACUGCAUUCGAAACUGGCAGGCUAGAGUCUUGUAGAGGGGGGUAGAAUUCCAGGUGUAGCGGUGAAAUGCGUAGAGAUCUGGAGAAAUACCGGUGGCGAAGGCGGCCCCCUGGACAAAGACUGACGCUCAGGUGCGAAAGCGUGGGGAGCAAACAGG